Molecule: long non-coding RNA, 1077 nt
Organism: Helianthus annuus (common sunflower)
Lineage: Eukaryota; Viridiplantae; Streptophyta; Magnoliopsida; Asterales; Asteraceae
Exons: 2
Source: RefSeq, a predicted model, not a curated record
AACUCAAUUUUAUUAACAACCCAAUACAACAUAUAUAUGAAGAAAAAAUUACAUGAAUAAUAUCAUCAAGGCUAGAAAGAUGAAGCUUCACAUCAUCUCAACAUAAAUCAUCAAACCCUCUUCUCCAACCCCUUCACACCUCAAAACAUACAAUCUUUCCUUAAUUGAUCAAACAAUGAACAUUAGUAACUUUAUACCUUUGCUUUUAUUCUACCCAAACACCGAAAAUCGCAGUUUCCAUGAUAAAACACUUGAUAUGAAGAACUCAUUAUCUCAAAUAUUAACAAAAUGCUAUCCUUUUGCCGGCAGGUAUGCCAAAGCUUCACCAGCCCUUGUAGACUGCAAUGAUGACGUUGUUGAGUUUCUUGUAGGAUCUGUUGAUACUACACUAUCCGAUUUUCUGCAAAAUUCACAACAUGAAGAUCUCGAUCAAUUUUUUCCAUAUCGUCAAGUAUGGUUUAGCCUGAGAUCGUAAAAGUGAAAGCGACCAAGUCAUGAUCCCACUCGCGAUUCAGAUUAACCAUUUUGAAUGUGGAGGAGUGACGGUGGCCGUAUCACUAUCACACAAGGUAGCGGAUGCAAUUAGUUGUUCUCAUUUGCCGGUGAUUGGGCAAAAAUGAGACAACUCUACUAACAAAAGUUGGAACAUGCCGAACCCCUCCUCGGACCCCAAGUUUAUUUCUUUCCAAUAUGACAACAUAAAUUCCAAUUCCUUUACUCCUGAUGGAACAAAAGAGUGUCACAAGGAGUUUCACAUUCUGAAACUCGAAGAUAGACGAGCUUAUUAAACUCAGACAAAACCAUGAUCACGAACGCCACUCAUGUUGAUGUUUUGACAUGGUUUCUUUCCAAGUGUGUAGUGGAAGCUGCUAACAAAAACUGAAGAAGAAAGUACCAGAAGUAGUCUCUCCAACUUGCAUUGAUAUAUUGCACAUUACCUUGCAGAAACAGUACACUACAAAUUCAUUAGCAUUUAGUUAGUUAAUAAGAUCCCUAUAACACACCAACCGAAACAUUCAACAUUUUAGAAAGCAACACUCAAGCCUAACUAAUAAACUUCAUCAACAACCAACCAAA